ACGAACGCUGGCGGCGUGCCUAAUACAUGCAAGUCGAGCGGACGAAUCGAAAGCUUGCUUUUGAUUCGUUAGCGGCGGACGGGUGAGUAACACGUGGGCAACCUGCCCUGUAGACGGGGAUAACACCGAGAAAUCGGUGCUAAUACCGGAUAACAUGAAAUGUCGCAUGACGUUUCGUUGAAAGACGGCGCAAGCUGUCGCUACAGGAUGGGCCCGCGGCGCAUUAGCUAGUUGGUGAGGUAACGGCUCACCAAGGCGACGAUGCGUAGCCGACCUGAGAGGGUGAUCGGCCACACUGGGACUGAGACACGGCCCAGACUCCUACGGGAGGCAGCAGUAGGGAAUCUUCCGCAAUGGACGAAAGUCUGACGGAGCAACGCCGCGUGAGCGAAGAAGGCCUUCGGGUCGUAAAGCUCUGUUGUUAGGGAAGAACAAGUAACGCAGUAACUGGCGUUACCGUGACGGUACCUAACGAGAAAGCCACGGCUAACUACGUG
This 497-nucleotide ribosomal RNA is filed under the name uncultured bacterium. RNAcentral describes it as "partial 16S ribosomal RNA". It matches the Rfam family "Bacterial small subunit ribosomal RNA", at positions 29 to 507 of the family's 1533-position model. The record is from RNAcentral.